GUUCCCUGUCCCGCCGCGCCCGGGCCGCUCCGCAGCAGGGAGAGCCCGGCCUGGGACGGCGGGCGGGUUCCCCUCUGGUGCGCAGUAGGUUGCCAGGGCCUCUUUUCGAGACCAGGUGAAGAAUUUGUGGGUUGGAGUCAGAUCCAUUCACAGUUCAAUCCUGGUGGUGUUUCUGUCCAGUCUCAGUUUCCUGAUCUGUAAAAUGGGAAAAGGAGUAUCUUUCCUUCUAGUAGUCCCACGGGCUGUCGCAUCAGGAAGCUUGUGACCUACAAGGAGAGGUGACAGGGAGAAUCCCAAGAACAAUUACCAGGCUUUGUCUUUCUGCCGCCAGUGGCUAAGAAGGAGCAGCACUGUCCAGCCCGCCAUCUAAGAAGGGGCCAUUUCUGGACCCUGCUCUGUAUUUCCAGAGGCUGUUGACAAUCGCCUUCAUUUUCUUUUUCUUUCUUUCUUUCCUUCUUUCUUUCUUUCUCUUUCUUUUUCUUUUCUUUUUUUUCUUUGACGGCUAAAUAGUACUCCAUUAGUAUAGAUGUACCACACUUUCUUUUUUGACAGAGUCUCACUCUGUUGCCCAGGCUGGAGUGCGAUGGCUUGAUCUCAACUCACUGCAACCUCUGUCUCCCGGGUUCAAGCGAUUCUGCUGCCACAGCCUCAGGAGUAGCUGGAAUUACAGGCAUGCGCCACCCCACGCCCGGCUAAUUUUGUAUUUUUAGUAGAGACGGGGUUUCUCCAUGUUGGUCAGGCUGGUCUCGAACUCCUGACCUCAUGUGAUCCACUCACCUUGACCUCCCAAAGUGCUGGGAUUACAGGCGUGAGCCACCGUGCCUGGUCAAUCGCCCUCAUUUUCUUGCUAGGAAAUACCCUCCAAUAAAUACUGGGUACACGUCACAGAAUUUUCUUUCCGUGGUGGGAUUCAAAGGGAGAAAAGUGCAGGAGUAUUCCAAUAACAUGCUUUCUCUCUGGGUUUAAAGCCCACACCCCCAGGAUUAGGCGCGGCUUUUGUAGGACUCUGAUUCCCAGGCUUAAGCAGAAAAACACAGAAUCCUAGGCUCUUAGCGCUGAAAGUCAGAGAGGACUUGCCCUACCACUUUUAACUGCUGAUCUACAGAUUUCAGCUAUAUGGUGUGCUGGUUGCUGCUUCAGCAAGUUAUUACAUGUCUCUCAGCCUCAGUUUUCUCACCUGUCAUAUGGGAAAAACACUGCCUGGUGGAGAAGGGUCUGGUGCUCUGCUCGGGAGUCUCCUGUUUUCACAGAGCUUCCUGAGUC
Molecule: long non-coding RNA, 1263 nt
Filed under: Homo sapiens (human)
Lineage: Eukaryota; Metazoa; Chordata; Mammalia; Primates; Hominidae
Description: non-protein coding lnc-AZIN1-4:1
Source: RNAcentral